AUGUUUGCCUUUGUUUCCUUCAUGGGCAGUUUGGUACGGUUUCCUGUUGUCGUUUGCGUCGAGCCUUGGGUCUGUCUCUCCUUCUCAUUGAGCAUACUUCUCCUGUUGCCGGCGCUUCUUCUUCUCGUCCGUCCUGCUGCUUACCCAACGUGCUUCUGCUUGCUGCCUCUGGCUGUACGAUCUCUUCUGUUGCUGUGUCGUUCGACUCAUCAAGAUGAUGUGGUUGAGUUACGAAGCCUCUUCUUGCAGUGUUGUCUGCAAGGCCGAAGGGAAGUUAUUAAUGCAUUUGAGCAGCUCUAUCUGAUUGUUCAUCUCCUGAACCUAUUUUAG
RNAcentral lists this ribosomal RNA (330 nucleotides) under Triticum aestivum (bread wheat). RNAcentral's name for it is "partial small subunit ribosomal RNA". The record is from RNAcentral. Lineage: Eukaryota; Viridiplantae; Streptophyta; Magnoliopsida; Poales; Poaceae.